GAUGAACGCUGGCGGCGUGCUUAACACAUGCAAGUCGAACGAAGCACUUUGGACAGAUUCUUCGGAUGAAGUCCUUAGUGACUGAGUGGCGGACGGGUGAGUAACGCGUGGGUAACCUGCCUCAUACAGGGGGAGUAACAGUUAGAAAUAGGCCGGCUAAUACCGCAUAAGCGCACGGAACCGCAUGGUUUUGUGUGAAAACUACCGGUGGUGUGAGAUGGACCCGCGUUG
Molecule: ribosomal RNA, 231 nt
Filed under: uncultured bacterium
Lineage: Bacteria
Description: partial 16S ribosomal RNA
Rfam family: Bacterial small subunit ribosomal RNA
Source: RNAcentral